This 237-nucleotide ribosomal RNA is filed under the name uncultured bacterium. RNAcentral's name for it is "partial 16S ribosomal RNA". It matches the Rfam family "Bacterial small subunit ribosomal RNA", at positions 96 to 334 of the family's 1533-position model. The record is from RNAcentral.
CGGCGGACGGGUGAGUAACGCGUGGGUAACCUACCCUGUACACACGGAUAACAUACCAAAGGUAUGCUAAUACGGGAUAAUAUAUUUGAGAGGCAUCUCUUGAAUAUCAAAGGUGAGCCAGUACAGGAUGGACCCGCGUCUGAUUAGCUAGUUGGUAAGGUAACGGCUUACCAAGGCGACGAUCAGUAGCCGACCUGAGAGGGUGAUCGGCCACAUUGGAACUGAGACACGGUCCAA